This 2966-nucleotide long non-coding RNA is filed under the name Homo sapiens (human). RNAcentral's name for it is "HSALNT0327237". Lineage: Eukaryota; Metazoa; Chordata; Mammalia; Primates; Hominidae. The record is from RNAcentral.
GAGGACUGAAAGGAGUGGUUGCAUCAGGUCUCCCCCACCCUUCUGCCUCCUGCGGUUGCGGCUUUAUUGUGGCCUCUGCUCCCCUGACACCUGCAUUUCACUUAGCGGGAGAGGCGGUGGCCAACUCAGCACAGGCUGCGGACUCAGCGUGGUGACAGAUCCCUCAAGCUAGAAGACUUCUGUUAGGAGAAGCGUUAUCCUGUCAGUUGAUUACCCUGAGUUAUUAUUAUUGCUGUUUGACAGAUGAAAAACUGACAUGGAGAAAAGUUAGACAAUUCCUCCAAAUCACAAAGAUAGUAAGUUGAAAACUUGUGAAAAGAACUCUGCUAUGUCAUAUUUCAAAGUCUAUGACCUCCCCUAUAUGGUACCUUCACUGAUGCUAUUGAAUUUAAAGCAAAUAAAGGAAAUGAAGCACAGCCCAAGUGUUGAUUGGUGGGAAGAAUAAAACAGUCAGAGUAAAUCUCACAUUGAAUGAACCUCCAGUGUUGUGUUGUUAGUUAGAAUUAAAGUCAUUCUCUAGAGUGUAACUUAAGACAGUAUGUCAUUUAAGGGUCAAGAAAUAGUCUGUUUACUCAGCAUUUAUCAGUCCUUUCUUUCCAAACUUUAAGCUAGCUAUAGAAAAAUUCCAGAGAGCCUGGGGAAAGAAACAAAAGGAAAAUUAGGGAAAAGACUUACAAGGUAUGAAGUAUUAGAGAACAUUUUAAAAGGAUAAUCUAUACGCUAUGUCAUUGAUGGCUGCAGCCAUUCUCUAUGCCCAUAAACUAAAUGGGCCUAACUCUUAACAGUGGCUAUUAGGUUAGUUAGAAGAGGCAUGUUUCUGAAAAUUCCAUAGUGAACUUCAUAGCCAGAGGAAAAUAUCUUAUACUUCUUUCUAUUCAAUCAUCCUUGACUCCGAAAGUGCCUCUUAUUUUCUUUUGGUGGAACAGUGGAAAAAAAAUAUCACACUGGAAGGCCAAUUGACUGAAAUCAAGUCCCUUUUCCUAACUGUGUGAACUGGGUCCUUCACAUCACUAUCCUUCAACAACAAGAAAAACAAAAAACAUCCUAUAAAUGUAUAAAGAAGAAAAUGAAAGUUCUUUCUUUGCUACCCCUAGUUCUCUUCCCCUUCCUAGAGGCUAAACUAUUUUGUGUGCAUGUGUGUGUGUGUGUAGAAUGUACACAUAUAUGUAGGGGAUUGGUUCUAGGACUCUGUCCCCUGUGAAUACCAAAAUUCAGGGACGCCUAAGUUCCUUAUAUAAAAUGAUGCUUAUAACCUACGCACAUCCUCCUGUAUACUUUAAAUAAUCUUGAUUACUUAUAAUAUCUAAAACAGUGUAAAUGCUAUGUAAAUAGUUGUUAUACUGUAUUGUUUAGGAAAUAAUGACAAGAAAAAAGUCUGCACAUGGUCAGAACAGAUUCAACCAUUCUUUUUUUAUAUAUUUUUUUCUGAAUAAUUACAAUCCAUGGUUUGUUGAAUCCACAGAUGCAGAACUGGUGGAUAUGGAGGGCUGACUGUAUACAUGUAUCUUCCCCAUAUAAAUAGAACAAUAUUUUAUAUACUGUUCUUCAAAUGGCAUUUUCCCUUUGAAGCUCUUUUCAAAUAUGUAAAAAUCUAUUUUUAAAAACUGCUGCACAGUAGCUCAUAGAAUGAAUCUACCAUAUUUCCUUUACUCUUUCCCCUCUUGGUGGUCCUUUAGGUGGUGUUUGGUUUUUUUCUAUUAUAAAUAGUGUGCAAUGACCAUGCUUGUAAGUGCUUCUAUACUCAUAUAUGUUUCUCUGAGCACAGAUGCCUAGAUCUAGAAGCCAAACAGAUGGGUUGAAGGUGAUACCUAAUUUUAACAUUUGAUGACUCCUGCCAAAUUACCCUCUGAAAAGAAUUUAACAAUUUAUAUUCCUUCCACAUCAUUGCCUCUUUCCCCACAUCAUAAUGUAAGUCUUCUUAUUUUUUACUCACCAAAGGGAGAGAAAUAUUUACUGUUUAAAACUGAGCACCUUUUAAACUGCUUUUCUUUCUUUAUUGGCUUAACUCUUCAAGAUGUGUCUUUUUUCUGAUUGGACUAUUGUUUUUAUCUUUACUGGCUUUUAGAAGCUCUUUAUAUAAUCUGGAUAAUAAGCUUUCGUCAUCAAUAUAUGUUGCAGAUAUUUCCUCUCAGUGUGUCAUCAGAUUUUGUAUUUAUGUCUAUUUAUUAUGUCUGUGACCAUACAAAUUAUUAAAUUUCUUAUAAGGUUAGGCUAAGCUUCUUUCUUUAUGAGUUAAUGGGGGUUGUCUGUCUUAGAAAGGAUCUCUCAUUCCAAACCUUAAAACUAUUCUCCUAAUAAUUUUAGAUUUGUUCAACUGAGAGAGUGCUUAACUCAGGAGAUCAAUAAAGGUUCAUAGAGGAAGAAGUAUUUGAAAUUGUCCUGGAAGAACAAUAUUUUUCAACAGGCAGAGAUGGAGAAAGGACAAUCUACAUGAACAGAACAGCAUGAGCAAAAAGAACUGGUAGAAAUAUAUUGAGCUUAUUCUUGAAAAUAGCUAGCAGUUUACUCCUCCUUUCUUUUGUAUACUAACAGCAGCACACUGAACAAACUGUUCUGUCAUCUUGUUUUUAUCACUUACCAUAUCUUUGAAAUAUUUCCAUAACCAUCAUAAGGAGUAUCCCUAUUGCUUUUUGAGCAAUGCAUAGAAUUCCAUUUUGUGUGAAUAUCAUAAUUUAUCACUCUUCUAUUUUUAUCACUCCUCUGUUGAUGAUGACUUCCAGUCUUUUGAUAAUAUAAACAGUGCUGUAGUAAAUAAAGUUCUGUAUAUGUCUUUUCCCACAGGUUAGAGACUAUCCAUAGGAUAAAUUUCUAGCAAAUUGCUGAGUCCAGGAUAUGCAUGUUUGCAAUUUUGGAAGAUCUUAAAAACUUGCCUCCUAUAGGUGUUGUACCAGUAUAUACUUCUGCCAGUAAUAGAUGGGUGGGCUGCUGAUGCCUCAAAAUUUCCACAGGCUAUACAGGAAGCAUGG